CCUUUAGAAAUGAAGAUUAAUGCCUCAUAGUAUUGUAGACUGGCAUCAGUUUAUAAUUAAAGAUUUAUCGGUAAAAGAUGGCUAUGCGUCCUAUUAGUUAGUUGGUAAGGUAACGGCUUACCAAGACAGCGAUAGGUAGGGGUCCUGAGAGGGAGAUCCCCCACACUGGUACUGAGACACGGACCAGACUCCUACGGGAGGCAGCAGUGAGGAAUAUUGGACAAUGGAGGACACUCUGAU
This 240-nucleotide ribosomal RNA is filed under the name uncultured Polaribacter sp. Its description in RNAcentral is "partial 16S ribosomal RNA". It matches the Rfam family "Bacterial small subunit ribosomal RNA", at positions 147 to 387 of the family's 1533-position model. Lineage: Bacteria; Pseudomonadati; Bacteroidota; Flavobacteriia; Flavobacteriales; Flavobacteriaceae. The record is from RNAcentral.